AACGAACGCUGGCGGCAUGCCUAACACAUGCAAGUCGAACGAGACCUUCGGGUCUAGUGGCGCACGGGUGCGUAACGCGUGGGAACCUGCCCUUAGGUUCGGAAUAACUCCCCGAAAGGGGUGCUAAUACCGGAUAAUGUCUUCGGACCAAAGAUUCAUCGCCUUUGGAUGGGCCCGCGUUGGAUUAGCUAGUUGGUAGGGUAAAAGCCUACCAAGGCUACGAUCCAUAGCUGGUCUGAGAGGAUGAUCAGCCACACUGGGACUGAGACACGGCCCAGACUCCUACGGGAGGCAGCAGUGGGGAAUAUUGGACAAUGGGCGAAAGCCUGAUCCAGCAAUGCCGCGUGAGUGAUGAAGGCCUUAGGGUUGUAAAGCUCUUUUACCCGGGAUGAUAAUGACAGUACCGGGAGAAUAAGCUCCGGCUAACUCCGUG
RNAcentral lists this ribosomal RNA (433 nucleotides) under uncultured bacterium. RNAcentral's name for it is "partial 16S ribosomal RNA". It matches the Rfam family "Bacterial small subunit ribosomal RNA", at positions 29 to 507 of the family's 1533-position model. The record is from RNAcentral.